GAGGGUAUGGCUCAGUGGUAGAGCGUGUGCUUAGCAUGCAUGAGGUCCUGGGUUCAAUUCCCCAGUACCUCCA
This 73-nucleotide transfer RNA is filed under the name Vicugna pacos (alpaca). It matches the Rfam family "tRNA". Rfam says of the family: Transfer RNA (tRNA) molecules are approximately 80 nucleotides in length. Their secondary structure includes four short double-helical elements and three loops (D, anti-codon, and T loops). Further hydrogen bonds mediate the characteristic L-shaped molecular structure. tRNAs have two regions of fundamental functional importance: the anti-codon, which is responsible for specific mRNA codon recognition, and the 3' end, to which the tRNAs corresponding amino acid is attached (by aminoacyl-tRNA synthetases). tRNAs cope with the degeneracy of the genetic code in two manners: having more than one tRNA (with a specific anti-codon) for a particular amino acid; and 'wobble' base-pairing, i.e. permitting non-standard base-pairing at the 3rd anti-codon position. RNAcentral also lists the same sequence under 1 other name. The record is from Rfam by way of RNAcentral. Lineage: Eukaryota; Metazoa; Chordata; Mammalia; Artiodactyla; Camelidae.